Molecule: long non-coding RNA, 1491 nt
Organism: Oncorhynchus keta (chum salmon)
Lineage: Eukaryota; Metazoa; Chordata; Actinopteri; Salmoniformes; Salmonidae
Exons: 3
Source: RefSeq, a predicted model, not a curated record
AGGAGUCAGAGAGAGAGGUAGAGGGGAGAGAGAGGAGUCAGACAGAGAGGUAGAGGGGAGAGAGAGGAGUCAGACAGAGAGGUAGAGGGGAGAGAGAGGAGUCAGACAGAGAGGUAGAGGGGAGAGAGAGGAGUCAGACAGAGAGGUAGAGGGGAGAGAGAGGAGUCAGACAGAGAGGUAGAGGGGAGAGAGAGGUAGAGGGGAGAGAGAGGAGUCAGACAGAGAGGUAGAGGGGAGAGAGAGGAGUCAGACAGAGAGGUAGAGGGGAGAGGGAGAAGUCAGACAGAGAGGUAGAGGGGAGAGAGAGGAGUCAGACAGAGAGGUAGAGGGGCGAGAGAGGAGUCAGACAGAGAGGUAGAGGGGAGAGAGAGGUAGAGGGGAGAGAGAGGAGUCAGACAGAGAGGUAGAGGGGAGAGAGAGGAGUCAGACAGAGAGGUAGAGGGGAGAGAGAGGAGUCAGACAGAGAGGUAGAGGGGAGAGAGAGGAGUCAGACAGAGAGGUAGAGGGGAGAGAGAGGUAGAGGGGAGAGAGAGGAGUCAGACAGAGAGGUAGAGGGGAGAGAGAGGAGUCAGACAGAGAGGUAGAGGGGAGAGAGAGGAGUCAGACAGAGAGGUAGAGGGGAGAGAGAGGAGUCAGACAGAGAGGUAGAGGGGAGAGAGAGGAGUCAGACAGAGAGGUAGAGGGGCGAGAGAGGAGUCAGACAGAGAGGUAGAGGGGAGAGAGAGGAGUCAGACAGAGAGGUAGAGGGGAGAGAGAGGAGUCAGACAGAGAGGUAGAGGGGAGAGAGAGGAGUCAGACAGAGAGGUAGAGGGGAGAGAGAGGAGUCAGACAGAGAGGUAGAGGGGAGAGUGAGGAGUCAGACAGAGAGGUAGAGGGGAGAGAGAGGAGUCAGACAGAGAGGUAGAGGGGAGAGAGAGGAGUCAGACAGAGAGGUAGAGGGGAGAGAGAGGAGUCAGACAGAGAGGUAGAGGGGAGAGAGAGGAGUCAGACAGAGAGGUAGAGGGGAGAGAGAGGAGUCAGACAGAGAGGUAGAGGGGAGAGAGAGGAGUCAGACAGAGAGGUAGAGGGGAGAGAGAGGAGUCAGACAGAGAGGUAGAGGGGAGAGAGAGGAGUCAGACAGAGAGGUAGAGGGGAGAGAGAGGAGUCAGACAGAGAGGUAGAGGGGAGAGAGAGGAGUCAGACAGAGAGGUAGAGGGGAGAGAGAGGAGUCAGACAGAGAGGUAGAGGGGAGAGAGAGGAGUCAGACAGAGAGGUAGAGGGGAGAGAGAGGAGUCAGACAGAGAGGUAGAGGGGAGAGAGGGAGAAAAAUAGAGAGGUAGAGGGGAGAGGGAAAAAAUGAGGGAUUUAAUGAUUUGUGAUGCAGGGAGGUCAAAGCAUUGACUAGCAAUUGUAGUACGUUGGUUUGAGAUAAUUGACUGAUCAAGUCUGAAAUGGGAUGGAAGCCUCAGGUCUGGACAACAGGAGUCCACUAUGUAGGGUGCCAUCUUGGAC